GAUGAAGAACGUAGCGAAAUGCGAUAAGUAGUGUGAAUUGCAGAAUUCAGUGAAUCAUCGAAUCUUUGAACGCACAUUGCGCCCUUUGGAAUUCCAAAGGGCAUGCCUGUUCGAGCGUCAUUUGUACCCUCAAGCUUUGCUUGGUGUUGGGCGUCUUGUCUCUAGCUUUGCUGGAGACUCGCCUUAAAGUAAUUGGCAGCCGGCCUACUGGUUUCGGAGCGCAGCACAAGUCGCACUCUCUAUCAGCAAAGGUCUAGCAUCCACUAAGCCUUUUUUUCAACUUUAGACCUCGGAUCAGGUAGGGAUACCCGCUGAACUUAAGCAUAUCAAUAAGCGAAGGA
This 341-nucleotide unclassified non-coding RNA is filed under the name soil metagenome. RNAcentral describes it as "partial contains 5.8S ribosomal RNA, internal transcribed spacer 2, and large subunit ribosomal RNA". The stretch from base 1 to 120 matches the Rfam family "5.8S ribosomal RNA", at positions 35 to 154 of the family's 154-position model. The record is from RNAcentral.